AAUGGCUCAUUAAAUCAGUUAUCGUUUAUUUGAUAAUACCUUGCUACUCGGAUAUCCGUGGUAAUUCUAGAGCUAAUACGUGCUAAAAACCCCGACUUCGGAAGGGGUGUAUUUAUUAGAUAAAAAACCAAUGCCCUCCGGGGCUCCUUGGUGAUUCAUGAUAACUUCUCAGAUCGCAUGGCUAUACGCCGGCGACGGUUCAUUCAAAUUUCUGCCCUAUCAACUUUCGAUGGUAAGGUAGUGGCUUACCAUGGUUUCAACGGGUAACGGGGAAUUAGGGUUCGAUUCCGGAGAGGGAGCCUGAGAAACGGCUACCACAUCCAAGGAAGGCAGCAGGCGCGCAAAUUACCCAAUUCCGAUGCGGAGAGGUAGUGACAAUAAAUACUGAUACAGGGCUCUUUUGGGUCUUGUAAUUGGAAUGAGUACAAUUUAAACCUCUUAACGAGGAACAAUUGGAGGGCAAGUCUGGUGCCAGCAGCCGCGGUAAUUCCAGCUCCAAUAGCGUAUAUUAAAGUUGUUGCAGUUAAAAAGCUCGUAGUUGAACCUUUGGCCUGGCUGGCAGGUCCGCCUCACCGCGUGCACUUGACCGGCCGGGCCUUUUCUUCUGGAGAACCGCAUGCCCUUCACUGGGUGUGUUGGGGACCAGGACUUUUACUUUGAAAAAAUUAGAGUGUUCAAAGCAGGCCUUUGCUCGAAUACGUUAGCAUGGAAUAAUAGAAUAGGACGUGCGGUCCUAUUUUGUUGGUUUCUAGGACCGCCGUAAUGAUUAAUAGGGACAGUCGGGGGCAUCAGUAUUCAAUUGUCAGAGGUGAAAUUCUUGGAUUUAUUGAAGACUAACUACUGCGAAAGCAUUUGCCAAGGAUGUUUUCAUUAAUCAGUGAACGAAAGUUAGGGGAUCGAAGACGAUCAGAUACCGUCGUAGUCUUAACCAUAAACUAUGCCGACUAGGGAUCGGGCGGUGUUUCUAUUGUGACCCGCUCGGCACCU
This 987-nucleotide ribosomal RNA is filed under the name Neokalmusia brevispora. RNAcentral describes it as "SSU rRNA". It matches the Rfam family "Eukaryotic small subunit ribosomal RNA", at positions 92 to 1088 of the family's 1831-position model. Lineage: Eukaryota; Fungi; Ascomycota; Dothideomycetes; Pleosporales; Didymosphaeriaceae. The record is from RNAcentral.